GACGAACGCUGGCGGCGUGCUUAACACAUGCAAGUCGAACGGAAAGGCCCUGCUUGCAGGGUACUCGAGUGGCGAACGGGUGAGUAACACGUGGGUGAUCUGCCCUGCACUUCGGGAUAAGCCUGGGAAACUGGGUCUAAUACCGGAUAGGAGCCAUUUUUAGUGUGAUGGUUGGAAAGUUUUUUCGGUGUAUGAUGAGCUCGCGGCCUAUCAGCUUGUUGGUGGGGUAAUGGCCUACCAAGGCGGCGACGGGUAGCCGGCCUGAGAGGGUGGCCGGCCACAUUGGGACUGAGAGACGGCCCAGACACCUACGGGAGGCAGCAGGGGGGAAGAUUGCACGAUGGGCGCAAGCCUGAUGCAGCGACGCCGCGGGUGGGAUGACGGCCCUCGGGUUGUAAACUCCUUUCGCUAGGGACGAAGCUUUUUGUGACGGUACCUAGAUAAGAAGCCCCGGCUAACUACGUG
Molecule: ribosomal RNA, 465 nt
Filed under: uncultured bacterium
Lineage: Bacteria
Description: partial 16S ribosomal RNA
Rfam family: Bacterial small subunit ribosomal RNA
Source: RNAcentral